Molecule: long non-coding RNA, 975 nt
Filed under: Capra hircus (goat)
Lineage: Eukaryota; Metazoa; Chordata; Mammalia; Artiodactyla; Bovidae
Description: lncRNA (ENSCHIG00010019806.1)
Source: RNAcentral
UUCUGGGACAGACACGCGACGCAUCUGGCUCCAACCAAAUAUUUUCAGUCACUCGGAUUCCAAGGAGUGCCUGGAAGAAGUCUGUGUCUAGCAACCUCUGAACAGAGACAUGGAAAGGCCUUCAGCCUCUGGGGAGAUAUGAGUUACAGACCUAAAGUCCAGACUUUCAGACAUGGUAAGCCUUUUCACUUGCAUGGGCUUUGAAAGGGGGUGCUAAAGCUCUAGAGUUCCUGCUGCAGGGAGUUAAUCUUCCAGAAAAGGCCUGCAAAGGCUCUGAGAAGCUUCACCCAGCCCAGCUUUCCUCAGAUCUCCCUCAGGCAGCUGUGACUCCUUAGUUCCCUCUUGGCUCCUCCCCAGUCCAGAUUAGCCCUGGUUGCAUUGUCAUUUCACUGCCAGUCAGAGCACAUCUAUGGAGCAGAGUCACCUCUGGAGGCUCAGGAGUCUGGGGCCCCAGCCCUUUGAUAGCUGAGUUUUAGAAAUACCUUGAGAUUUGGGAGGGUACCAGGGAACAGGGUCAAGGGUGCUAAGGAACCGCUGGAGUAAGGAGCUGUGUUCAGGGGCAAAGGUGAUUCACAGGGGAUGCUAAUCCUUCAGUCUACAGGGUUUACUGAUCCUACCUAUUGUUUGGUCUUUGAGGGCAGGAAUGCUAGGCCUGAGAGAGGGAGGCACUGAUAGUAAUAAUGACAGCUACUUUUUAUCCAGACCAUCUAUAUGUCAGACACCAUACGUACACCCUGUCAUUUAAUCCUCCAAUAACUCUGUGAGAGAGCUAGGAAUAGUUGCAUUUUAUGGAUUAAAUAGUUUAAAAAAAAAGAAAAACACCCUGAAGCUCAGAGAAGUUGCCCAUAACCAUUGAGAGAGAAUUGGAAUUGAACCCAAUCCCAUAUCUGUGUAUCUCAAGCCAGUGGUAGACUGCCUAGAAAUAUAAAUUUUGUCCUCAUCAUCAAUACUUGGGCUACCUGAUGUGAAGAGGCG